UACGUAGGGGGCAAGCGUUGUCCGGAUUUAUUGGGCGUAAAGAGCGUGUAGGCGGUCAGGUAGGUCGGUUGUGAAAACUGGAGGCUCAACCUUCAGAGGUCGACCGAAACCCCCUGGCUAGAGUCCGGGAGAGGAGAGUGGAAUUCCUGGUGUAGCGGUGAAAUGCGCAGAUAUCAGGAAGAACACCCGUGGCGAAAGCGGCUCUCUGGAACGGUACUGACGCUGAGGCACGAAAGCGUGGGGAGCAAACAGG
RNAcentral lists this ribosomal RNA (253 nucleotides) under uncultured bacterium. Its description in RNAcentral is "partial 16S ribosomal RNA". It matches the Rfam family "Bacterial small subunit ribosomal RNA", at positions 524 to 776 of the family's 1533-position model. The record is from RNAcentral.